This is a long non-coding RNA of Mus musculus (house mouse), 341 nucleotides long. RefSeq annotates it as predicted gene, 38889. Lineage: Eukaryota; Metazoa; Chordata; Mammalia; Rodentia; Muridae. The record is from RefSeq and is a predicted model, not a curated record. The transcript has 3 exons.
UGCCAAGCCGGAAGCCAGCGGCUCGGUCAACUGGAAACGAAGCAGGGUCACUGACACCUGCUGGAUUGGAUUAUCAUAGUAGUACAUCUGGAGGCUGCAGUUGUUAAGAGCCUUCUUCUUCUUCUCGAGGACCUGUCAGUUCCCAGCACCCAGAUUUCGGCUCAUAACCAUCUGGAACACCAGUCCCAGGACAUUAAACUCCAAUUCUUGGUGGACACCAACAUACAUGCAGGGGCCAUCUGAAUGUGGGGAUUGCAAGAAUGCCUCGCCGCACACCAGCUCAUGGAUAGACCAACACUUUGCAUGUGUUAUGCAAGCAUUCUGUCAACUGAGCUAUGUCA